UUCAUUAUAAUCAUAUUUUUUUGUCAUUUAAAGACCACACUCCCUAGAACAGCUCUCUAUCAUCUGUGGAAGCCUCAUCUACCCAAUCACUCUGUUUCACCCCAAAUUUCAUCGUCAACCACCUCCAGCAGCCCAGGACUUGACACACAUUGGGAUGACAACUUUGUGGGGUGUGGUAGCGCAGUGGUUAAGGUGUUGGGCUACUGGUCGGAAGGUCAUGGGUUCGAACCCCAGGUCCACCAAGCUGCCACUGCUGGGCCCCUGAGCAAGGCCCUUAACCCUCAGUUGCUCAGUUGUAAGUCAAUCUGGAUAAGGGUGUCUGCUAAAUGCGUAAAUGUAAAUGUAACUUUGAAAUUCCAUGCAGUAUCACUUCCUGAGGAAGUGAUACAUUCUUUGGAAAUGGUCCGGAAUGUUGUGACUAAGAUGAUGCCCUUAAAAGGCAUUCAACUGAUGUUGCAACAGAAAUGGUGCCAAAAUAUCCCAAUACUCUCAAUCACAGCAUGUGCAUUGGUGAAAUUGCACAGCAUCAACAAUGGUGAAAUUACACAGCAUCAACAUGUCAACCAGGAAAAAGUAUCAAAUGCCUUACAGAGGACUGGCUGUUUUGGUCUGAUGAACUUGGCAUGUCAGUCCACUUCAAGGAACUCACUGGGAUUGAUCUCAAAGAGACAUUCACACGAAAUUUGGAUUUGAAGGGAAAAAGGCUUCACGACUACAUGAUCACAGUUUGUGUCAACAAGAGCAUGAAGUUCCUUCAGAAUUAUGCAAGGCUUCAUACGAUGUGGGGACUGUAGAGAGGCUGCUCAGAUGAUGUGAUAGAGAUGCUCCUGCUUCAGCUCAGCUACUUUGAUGAGGAGGAGGAGUCCAUGUUCUUCCAUGUAGAAGAUAGAUGUCUGGCAGAAGAUGUCCAACUGGUACAUGCUGAUGUUGGUACACGCUGAGUCUGUAUCAGAACCUAAUCAACACAAACAUCUCCUCAUUCAUUUCUGCAUUGUGCCUCAUGUUUGGGAGCUUCUACAGUUUUAAUAUCCAUUAUCCAUCUUAGCUGGCUUCAACUCUGGAGUUUCUUCAAAGGUGUUUUUUCUCAAUAAACCCAGAAAAGGGAACCAAAGUACAGAAUAAAAACUCCAAGCUUCCUCUCAACUUGAACCCUCGAGUCCUCACCCUGAUACAGAAACUCUCAGAUCACGAGUGGCGUGAAGCCUAAAUAUGGACUCUUUCUGUUGACUCUGACUGUUCGUUUGAGAAGAGAUACUGUUUUUACUUUGUUAAAUCCACAGUGUGUAUUAUGGUUAAGGUACUAUGUCAUUUGUUUUAAACUCGUAAAGGUGCACUGUAACUCUUUCUGGUAGACGGUCUAUAUGUAUCUUUAUUCAAUUAGAACUGUUUUAAUACAAAACAAUACCUUAACAAACCUGCAUCCUUACCGUAAGGGGGCUCGCCUCUCCACAGAUCUGACCUCUAACUUGGCCUAUUGGCAUCACCUGAUUGUCUCUAUGGAGAUUCGAUAAGUCUUACUGUGUGCCAUACUGUGGAACAUUCCAGACAGGGACAGUGUGGGUUGUUGUUGUGAAUUGGGUUUGUGGCAGAAAAAUGUCCAGAUUUAAAGAGGCUAAUCUUCUGGAGUAUUUCAACUUGGUCUCAGUCAUAGUUAAAAAAAAAAAAAUUACAUGUAGCUUCUUUGCAUCUUGUAUACAUUGAAAAAAAAAUGGGCCAAUUGUUUUAAGCCAUACUGUGUUGUUGUUGUUGUUGUUUUUGUUGUUGUGUGCCUGGCACUUAAACUUUGUUAAAAAUAACUUUUCAAACUUAGUUUGAGGGGAAAAAAUGCAUCCAGUUGUUUACAACUAUUUUGAUGGCUUUUAAAUAAAUUUUGCAAAAGUAA
Tachysurus fulvidraco (yellow catfish) is the source of this 1882-nucleotide long non-coding RNA. RefSeq lists it as uncharacterized. Lineage: Eukaryota; Metazoa; Chordata; Actinopteri; Siluriformes; Bagridae. The transcript is spliced from 2 exons. The record is from RefSeq and is a predicted model, not a curated record.